Molecule: small RNA, 68 nt
Filed under: Amycolatopsis orientalis HCCB10007
Lineage: Bacteria; Bacillati; Actinomycetota; Actinomycetes; Pseudonocardiales; Pseudonocardiaceae
Description: ASdes TB sRNA
Rfam family: ASdes TB sRNA
Source: Rfam by way of RNAcentral
AGCUCGACCGGAUCGACCGCGCGCGUCACCAGCAGAUAGUCGCGGAUGCAGAUGCCGUGGCGGCCCUC